This 763-nucleotide ribosomal RNA is filed under the name Escherichia coli. RNAcentral describes it as "partial 23S ribosomal RNA". It matches the Rfam family "Bacterial large subunit ribosomal RNA", at positions 2159 to 2916 of the family's 2925-position model. The record is from RNAcentral. Lineage: Bacteria; Pseudomonadati; Pseudomonadota; Gammaproteobacteria; Enterobacterales; Enterobacteriaceae.
GAAGUGUGGACGCCAGUCUGCAUGGAGCCGGCCUUGAAAUACCACCCUUUAAUGUUUGAUGUUCUAACGUUGACCCGUGAUCCGGGUUGCGGACAGUGUCUGGUGGGUAGUUUGACUGGGGCGGUCUCCUCCUAAAGAGUAACGGAGGAGCACGAAGGUUGGCUAAUCCUGGUCGGACAUCAGGAGGUUAGUGCAAUGGCAUAAGCCAGCUUGACUGCGAGCGUGACGGCGCGAGCAGGUGCGAAAGCAGGUCAUAGUGAUCCGGUGGUUCUGAAUGGAAGGGCCAUCGCUCAACGGAUAAAAGGUACUCCGGGGAUAACAGGCUGAUACCGCCCAAGAGUUCAUAUCGACGGCGGUGUUUGGCACCUCGAUGUCGGCUCAUCACAUCCUGGGGCUGAAGUAGGUCCCAAGGGUAUGGCUGUUCGCCAUUUAAAGUGGUACGCGAGCUGGGUUUAGAACGUCGUGAGACAGUUCGGUCCCUAUCUGCCGUGGGCGCUGGAGAACUGAGGGGGGCUGCUCCUAGUACGAGAGGACCGGAGUGGACGCAUCACUGGUGUUCGGGUUGUCAUGCCAAUGGCACUGCCCGGUAGCUAAAUGCGGAAGAGAUAAGUGCUGAAAGCAUCUAAGCACGAAACUUGCCCCGAGAUGAGUUCUCCCUGACUCCUUGAGAGUCCUGAAGGAACGUUGAAGACGACGACGUUGAUAGGCCGGGUGUGUAAGCGCAGCGAUGCGUUGAGCUAACCGGUACUAAUGAACCGUGAGG